RNAcentral lists this ribosomal RNA (449 nucleotides) under uncultured bacterium. RNAcentral's name for it is "bacterial SSU rRNA". It matches the Rfam family "Bacterial small subunit ribosomal RNA", at positions 328 to 793 of the family's 1533-position model. The record is from RNAcentral.
CUACCAGACUCCUACGGGAGGCAGCAGUGGGGGAUAUUGCACAAUGGGGGGAACCCUGAUGCAGCGACGCCGCGUGGGUGAAGAAGUAUUUCGGUAUGUAAAGCCCUAUCGGCAGGGAAGAAUUUAGACGGUACCUGACUAAGAAGCCCCGGCUAACUACGUGCCAGCAGCCGCGGUAAUACGUAGGGGGCAAGCGUUAUCCGGAUUCACUGGGUGUAAAGGGAGCGUAGACGGCCAUGCAAGCCUGGAGUGAAAGGCGGGGGCUCAACCCCCGGACUGCUCUGGAAACUGUACGGCUGGAGUGCAGGAGAGGUAAGUGGAAUUCCUAGUGUAGCGGUGAAAUGCGUAGAUAUUAGGAGGAACACCAGUGGCGAAGGCGGCUUACUGGACUGUAACUGACGUUGAGGCUCGAAAGCGUGGGGAGCAAACAGGAUUAGAUACCCGUGUAA